CGGAGGAAAAGAAACCAACAGGGAUUGCCCUAGUAACGGCGAGUGAAGCGGCAACAGCUCAAAUUUGAAAUCUGGCGCAAGCCCGAGUUGUAAUUUGUAGAGGAUGCUUCUAGGUAGCGACCGGUCUAAGUUCCUUGGAACAGGACGUCAUAGAGGGUGAGAAUCCCGUAUGUGACCGGCCCGCACCUUCUACGUAGCUCCUUCGACGAGUCGAGUUGUUUGGGAAUGCAGCUCUAAAUGGGAGGUAAAUUUCUUCUAAAGCUAAAUACCGGCCAGAGACCGAUAGCGCACAAGUAGAGUGAUCGAAAGAUGAAAAGCACUUUGGAAAGAGAGUUAAAAAGCACGUGAAAUUGUUGAAAGGGAAGCGCUUACAACCAGACUUCUGGGCGGUGUUCCGCCGGUCUUUUGACCGGUCCACUCGCCGUCCCGAGGCCAACAUCAUCUGGGACCGCUGGAUAAGACCUCAGGAAUGUAGCUUCCCUCGGGAAGUGUUAUAGCCUGUGGUGAUGCGGCGCGUCUCGGGUGAGGUCCGCGCUUCGGCAAGGAUGUUGGCGUAAUGGUUGUCAGCGGCCCGUCUUGAAACACGGACCAAGGAGUCUAACAUCUAUGCGAGUGUUCGGGUGUCAAACCCCUACGCGUAAUGAAAGUGAACGGAGGUGGGAAGCGCGAGCUGCACCAUCGACCGAUCCUGAUGUCCUCGGAUGGAUUUGAGUAAGAGCAUAGCUGUUGGGACCCGAAAGAUGGUGAACUAUGCCUGAAUAGGGUGAAGCCAGAGGAAACUCUGGUGGAGGCUCGCAGCGGUUCUGACGUGCAAAUCGAUCGUCAAAUUUGGGUAUAGGGGCGAAA
RNAcentral lists this ribosomal RNA (846 nucleotides) under Ramularia urticae. RNAcentral describes it as "eukaryotic LSU rRNA". It matches the Rfam family "Eukaryotic large subunit ribosomal RNA", at positions 51 to 928 of the family's 3401-position model. Lineage: Eukaryota; Fungi; Ascomycota; Dothideomycetes; Mycosphaerellales; Mycosphaerellaceae. The record is from RNAcentral.